This 75-nucleotide antisense RNA is filed under the name Actinoalloteichus sp. GBA129-24. Its description in RNAcentral is "ASpks TB sRNA". It matches the Rfam family "ASpks TB sRNA". The record is from RNAcentral. Lineage: Bacteria; Bacillati; Actinomycetota; Actinomycetes; Pseudonocardiales; Pseudonocardiaceae. RNAcentral also lists the same sequence under 1 other name.
CUUCACCGAGCCGAGCAGCAGCGGCCGUCCGCCCUCGCGGUGCUGCCCAUAGGUGGCAAGCAGUGCCUGUGCCUC